UUAUUGACUUGAAUUCCUUGUGUGAUUGUGUUUUAUUUAUUUCACCCGUAUAGUUGAGAUAAUUGAGGUGGUUAUGUAUUAUAUUCAUAUUGAUGGAUUGAGAUGCAUCAUCAUUCCCUCUAUUGAAACAAUAUUGUGCACAUGCAUCGAGAUGAGACUGAGUAUAAGUUGGGCACGUGGAGAUCGUCCGUGCUGGGGAUGGUGAGAUGUUAAGAUUGUAAUUUGGGCACGUGGAGACCGUCCGUGCGAAAAUUGUUUGAUAUUAUGAUAGUGCGUUGAGAUCGUCUGCACAGACAUGUGGAGAUCGUCCGUGUCGGUAUAUGGACCUCGUGAGUUCCCCAUGGGUCAUGAACUCUCGAUGUAUUUCCGAGGAGUAUCAUGUAUAUACGGUUGAGUGAGUACUGGGUAUUCUGAGACAUAUCAUUACAUGACAUCAUAUUGCAUUGCAUUUCAUCCCAUCAUUCAUUCUUGAUGACUAUAUGUUUCGUUUGGUGUUUGGAAAAUAUUAAAUGUUGAUUUCCUUUAUUGAUGAAACUUAAAUAGUGAGUGUAAUAUAUAUAUAUAUAUAUACUUGUAUAAUUUAAGAACUUAUUUUCUUAUAUAAACUCCCGUCACUACUUCUUCGUUGUCGGUCAAUGAGACAUAUUGGGUACACGUGGUUUCGUACUCAUACUACGCUUGUUGCACUCUUUGUGGUGCAGAUUCGAUUCCGAGUAGGAGCACAUCUCGUGGAUCAAAUUGAGUCCGGAUUGAAGUUCUUGGAGUUGUGGUGAGCUGCUUGGCGGUUCUGUGGCCCACACCUCCCUCUAUCUUUUACUUAUUCUGUUAUUCCGUAUUCAGACAGGAUAUCCCUUAUGUUAGAUUUGCCUUUUAGUAUCAGACUUGCAUCGUAUUAUAGAAGCUCUUGUACUCAUGACACAAUUUCUUGGGUAGUAUUUUUUUUCAGUUUUCCACAUUCGUACUUAUAAGAACUCAGUGUUGGAGAUUAGGAAAUUGUUGUCUUUUCACUUCUUUGUUAGUUAAGUUUGUUAAAAAUAUGUUGGUUGGCUUACCUAUUGGUUGGGAAUAUAGGUGCCAUCAUGACUCGUGAUUUUGGGUCGUGACAAAUUUGGUAUCAGAGCCCUAGGUUCAUCGGUCUCAAGGGUACAAGGGCAAUGUCUUUAGAGUCUUGCGGAUCGGUAUGAAGACGUCCAUACCUAUCUUCGAGAGGCUAUAGGACAUUUAGGAAAUAUUCUGUUAUUUUAUUCAUUAUCGUGCUCACUUGACCUUGUAGAAAUUCUAAUCUUGAUAUCUCAUUCUCUCUCAGAUGGCGAGGAAUCGUACAUCGGCAAGUGGUGGUCAGGAUCCUAUUCCUGUGCCUGCUUCUGGGAACACUAUCCGAUGUAGAGGUAGGGGACGAGCUCGAGGUCGGGGUAGGGGCCGUAUUGCAGCACCUGUGGGUGGUCAAGUACCAAUAGCUACCCAGGGUCAUGAUAGGACCGUACCUCCUGGUGCAGAUGUUCUUCAUGUGGAUGUGCAAGAUCGUGUCGAGGGGGAUGGGCCAGCUCAGGCUCCAACCAGUACUAUUGUUCCCUAAGUGCUUCAAGAUACCCUGGCUCGUAUGUUAGGAAUCCUAGAGGGGAUGGCCCAGGCAGGAGCUUUGCCUGUCACUUCCUGGACUGAGUUUACUCAGGUAUUUCUAUCCAAAUUUGUUCCACGCAGUGAGAGGGAGCGCAAGAGGGCCGAGUUUGAGGGUUUGUAGCAAAAUGGUAUGUCAGUUGCAGAAUAUGAGGGUAAAUUUCAUGCCUUGGCUAGGCAUGCUUCGAUGAUACUUCCCACAGAGGCUGAGAGAGUGAGAAGGUUUGUUAAGGGGCUGAUUAUUCCGAUCCGUCUAGGAGUUUCUCAGGUUGCUGCUUUUGGUGUUCCAUUCCAGAAAGUGGUGGAUGCUGCUAAGGAGUUGGAGAUGAUUCGACGUGAGGGAUUUGAGCAGCGAGAGGGCAAGAGGACUCGUUAUUCAGGCGAUUAUGGUGGUGCUCCGCCUAGGAGUCGGGGUUUACUUGGGCAGAGGUUAUCACCCUUAGUCCAGCAGACCCAUUCAUGCUGCUAUACCAGCGUCUGAGGCUGGUUACGCUGGGCAUAACUCUUCGAGCUCUGUACAUACUUCGCAGGGUUCAUCUUCUAGACCUGUAGUUCGUGGAGGGCAUUCUGGUCAUUCGGGUUCCUCUCAUCAGCCUGCAUCUCGUAGGGGUUGCUUUGAGUGUGGUUAUAUGGGACACUUUGUGAGAGACUGCCCUAGGACCAGACGUGGUGGUUUACAUCAGGGUUCUCAGGCUUCGACUUCCAGGGUUGCACAACCUCCAGCUAGGGGUGGUGCACAGAAUGGUAGAGGUGGUUCUCAUUCAGGUAGAGGUGGUUCUCCUUCUGGUCGAGGUGGUGGUCGUGGAGGUUCACAAUCUGAUGGAGGUCGUUCUCACUGUUAUGCUAUUCCAGGUAGGCCAGAGGAUGAAGCCUCAGAUGCUGUUAUCACAGGUAUUAUUCCGGUUUGUCAUCGACCAGCUACUGUAUUAUUUGAUCCAGGCUCUACUUAUUCUUAUGUGUCCACAUAUUUUGCUCCUAGUCUGGAUAUAUUGUGUGAGUCUCUUGAUUUGCCGAUACGUGUUUCUACUCCUGUCGGGGAUUCUGUAGUUGUAGAUCAAGUGUAUCGUUUAUGUACUGUUACUUUGAUGGGGUAUGACACUCAUGCAGAUCUAAAGGUCUUAGAAAUGAUAGAUUUUGAUGUGAUUCUUGGUAUGGAUUGGUUAUCUUCUUACUACGCAAUUUUAAAUUGUCAUGCUAAGACCAUCACUUUAGCUAUGCCUGGAAUUCCUAUAGUAGAAUGGAGAGGUACUCUUAUACAUCCUUCUAAGGGUGUGAUAUCAUUCCUUAAGGCUCGUCAGUUGGUACAGAGGGGAUGUUUGGCGUACUUGGCCCACAUUCGAGAUACUAGUAUUGAGACUCCUUUGCUUGAGUCUAUUCCAGUAGUGAGUGAAUUUUCAGAAGUAUUUCCGACCGAUUUGCCAGGUCUUCCACUAGAUCAAGAUAUUGAUUUUUGUAUUGAUGUGGAGCCAGGCACUCGGCCUAUUUCCAUUCCUCUUUAUCGUAUGGCACCAGCUGAAUUGAAAGAGUUGAAGGAGCAGCCGCAGGAUUUGUUGAGCAAAGGUUUUAUUAUACCAAGUGUAUCUCCUUGGGGUGCUCCAGUGUUAUUUGUGAAGAAGAAAGAUGGAUCUAUGCGUAUGUGUAUUGACUAUCGGCAGUUGAACAAGGUAACCAUCAGAAAUAAGUAUUUGAUACCUCAUAUUGAUGAUUUAUUUGAUCAGUUGCAGGGUGCUUCAGUUUUCUCCAAAAUUGACUUGAGAUCUGGCUAUCAUCAGCUGAAGGUUAGGGCGGAGGAUAUCCCUAAGACAACUUUUCGAACACGUUAUGGUCAUUACGAGUUUUUGGUGAUGUCUUUCGGACAGACUAAUGCCCCAGCAGCUUUUAUGGACUUGAUGAAUGGAGUGUUCAGACCGUAUUUAGAUUCCUUUGUUAUUGUCUUUAUAGAUGAUAUAUUGAUAUACUCACGCACUAAGGAGGAGCAUGAGCAUCAUUUGAGGAUUGUUCUUGGGAUUCUAAAGGAGAAGAAGCUUUAUGCAAAGUUUUCAAAGUGUGAGUUUUGGCUUAGUUCGGUAGCAUUCUUGGGACAUGUAGUGUCCAAGGAGGGUAUCAUGGUGGAUCCUAAGAAGAUUGAGGUGGUUAGAGAUUGGGUCAGACCUACUUCAGUUACUGAGAUUCGGAGUUUCUUGGGCCUUGCAGGUUAUUAUCGAUGGUUUGUUGAGGGUUUCUCAUCCAUUGCAUCUCCAUUAACUAGAUUGACACAAAAGGAGGUGACUUUUCAGUGGUCUAACGAAUGUGAGGUUAGUUUCCAAAGGCUCAAGACUUUAUUGACUACUGCUCCAAUUUUGACACUACCCGUGGAGGGAGAGGGUUUUGUUGUAUAUUGUGAUGCUUCUCGGAUUGGUCUUGGUUGUGUGUUGAUGCAGAAGGGAAGGGUGAUAGCUUAUGCUUCGAGGCAGUUAAAGGUUCAUGAGAAGAACUACCCUAUUCAUGAUUUAGAGUUGGCGUCUGUUGUGUUUGCAUUAAAGAUUUGGAGGCAUUAUCUUUAUGGUGUGCAUUGUGAGGUGUUCACGGAUCAUCGUAGUCUCCAGUAUAUAUUCAAUCAGAGGGAUCUCAAUUUGAGGCAGAGGAGAUGGUUGGAGUUGCUCAAGACUACGAUAUGACUAUUCUUUAUCACCCAGGCAAAGCAAAUGUUGUAGCAGAUGCCUUGAGUCGGAAGGCGGUAAGUAUGGGUAGUCUAGCCAUGUUACAGGUUGGCGAGCGUCCUUUAGCUAGGGAUGUCCAAUCCCUGGCCAAUAGCUUUGUGAGACUUGAUAUUUCAGAAUCUGGUAAGGUGUUGGCUUAUAUGGAGGCUAGGUCAUCCUUGUUGGAGCAGAUUCGUGCUCAACAGUUUGAUGAUGGUGAUUUAUGUAAGAUUAGGGACAAGGUUUUAAAAGGAGAAGCCAAGGCUGCAAUUCUUGAUAGUGAGGGAGUUUUGAGGAUUAAGGGUCGUAUAUGUGUUCCUCGUACAGGUGAUUUUACUAGAUUGAUCAUGGAGGAGGCUCGUAGUUCGAGGUACUCUAUUCAUCCAGGGGCUACUAAGAUGUAUCGUGACUUGAAGCAACACUAUUGGUGGUGUCGUAUGAAGAGGGACAUAGUAGAUUUUGUAUCUCGAUGUUUGAAUUGUCAGCAAGUGAAGUAUGAACACCAAAAGCCUGGAGGUAUGACUCAGAGGAUGCCCAUACCUGAGUGGAAGUGGGAGCGCAUUGCUAUGGACUUUGUGGUAGGGUUUCCACGUACCUUGGGUAAGUUUGAUGCUAUAUGGGUCAUCGUGGAUCGACUGACUAAGUCUGCACACUUUGUACCAGUUCAGACUACCUAUAACUCAGAGAAGUUAGCCAAGAUCUAUAUUCAAGAGAUAGUUCGUUUGCAUGGAGUUCCUAUAUCUAUUAUUUCAGAUCGUGGCACCCAAUUUACAUCUCAUUUCUGGCUGUCUAUGCAGAAAGAGUUGGGCACUCGAGUGGAUCUUAGUACAGCCUUUCACCCUCAGACUGAUGGUCAAUCUGAGCGAACUAUUCAGGUUCUUGAGGAUAUGUUGCGGGCAUGUGUGAUUGACUUUGGUGGUCAGUGGGACCAGUUCUUGCCUCUAGCAGAGUUUGCUUACAAUAAUAGUUAUCACUCGAGCAUUGAGAUGACACCAUUUGAGGCUCUGUAUGGCAGGAGAUGUCGAUCUCCAAUUGGCUGGUUUGAUGCAUUUGAGGUUAGACCAUGGGGUACAAAUUUGUUGAGGGAGUCCUUGGACAAGGUCAAGUUGAUCCAAGAUAGACUUCUCAUGGCACAGAGUAGGCAAAAGAGUUAUGUAGAUCGAAAGAUUCGUGAUUUAGAGUUUAUGGUUGGAGAGAGGGUUUUAUUGAAGGUUUCACCCAUGAAGGGUGUGAUGAGGUUUGGAAAGAAGGGCAAGUUGAGCCCAAGGUAUAUUGGUCCUUUCGAGAUUAUUGAGCGUAUUGGUGAGGUGGCGUAUCAGUUGGCUUUGCCACCUGGUUUGUCAGGUGUUCAUCCUGUAUUUCAUAUCUCUAUGCUUAAGAAGUAUCAUCAGGGCGGUGAUCAUGUGAUUCAAUGGGAUUCAGUGUUACUUGAUCAGAAUUUUGACUUUUGAGGAAGAGUCGAUCUCCAUUCUGGAUAGGCAAAUUCGAAAGCUAAGGUCCAAGGAGAUUGCUUCAGUAAAGGUUCAGUGGAAGCACCGUCCAGUGGAGGAGGCUACAUGGGAGACAAAGUCAGACAUAAGGAGUAAAUAUCCUCAUCUUUUUGAGCAUUCAGGUUAGUUCUUUUCUUUUUCCGUUCGAGGACGAACGUUUGUUUAAGUGGUAGGUGAUGUAACAGCCCGCUAGAUCGUUUGGAGAACUCAAACUAUCUUUACUCUUUCCGUAGAAUUUAAAAUUAAAAAAAUUGAAAUAUUCGGUAACCACGAUUAUUUAGUUGUCAGAUAAGUGUUAAAUAUUUAAUAUAGCUGCAUACUUAAUGGGCCAGAUCAACACCUAAUUUAGUUAAAACCUUUUUUUUUCACUUAGCCCAUUUAGUAAAUUAAGAUAAAUGAGUGAUUAGCAUAACCCCAUUAAUAUAUUCUGGCAAAACGUGUAGGGGAAAAGAAACCGUCGACUUCAGGUGAACGAUUUAUUCUCAAACUUUUCAAUUCUUCAUUUGAGUAUAUUGUCAAGUGAAUUAAAUUGUUUUUUUAAAUUAUUUGUUGGUGUGUAUAUGAGAAAAUAGAUUAUUUUUGGAUCUGUUCAGAUCCCUUGUGAAGGAACGGAAAAGAACCAUUUUUUUAUUUAUGUGAUAACUUUAUCAACCUAAGGGGGGAGCAUUGAAUGCCCAUUAAUGAGGCUCAUUAUGGAAGUGGCAGAUGACAUGACCAAUUCUUUGGGAAUUAAGCAAUUGAACCGAUUAAAAUUAAAGAAAAGAAUGAAGGAUCUCACAUUUAAAGUGCAUUUUCUUGUUUGUUAACUAGUGAAAAUGGGUAUUAAUUUAUUUAUUUACAGAAUUUAGUCACUAGUAUUAGUAUGUUAUCUUUAGAGAAUUAAGUUUUUUUUUAUUGCAUUGGAUUAUAUAAAUCUUCAUAUUGACGAUGAAGGAUAUAUUAUUAAUAGUAGGUAUUGCUGGAAAUUUUUUUGGGUUGUACAACUUGUUAAUUUAAUUUAUUCCUAAUGACUAGCAGGUAAAUUAAGUGAGUUACCGUAAGUAUUGAGGGUGUUGGAUUAGAGUAGAGGAGAAUGUUUAUAUUAAUUAUUAUCAUGUGUAAUUAUUUAAUAAGAAUUAGGCAUAACCAUUGGGGAAAAAAAAGGGGGAAUCUUUGGCAAACAAAAGCUUUAUUUCAUAUAUGAAACCUGCGGAAAAAUUCCAUAGACAUUAUUUAUUUAAGUAAGUUACAUCAAACUACUUAUUGGCUUUAAACUUUUAUUUCAUUUUUAAUUUUCAUAUAGUAAUACUCCAUAGAGUAUAUGGAUAUAGCUAACAAAAUUUUGGUGGUAUUGUGUUACAUGAGUAUUAUUAGAAUCAUAAUAUUUUGAGGAGUUGAGGCUUGACAGUAGGCUUGAAAUUUAGUAAGUACAAUCUUGACAUAUAAAAUAUAUCAAGAGUAGGAGCUUGAUUGGAUACAUGAGUGAGUUUGGAGUUUAGGUUAGACAUAUAACCUAUGAACUCGCUUACUUACGAAUAUUGCACAAUGGAUAGAUUGGGAACGUUCCGAAGCUUUGCGAAAGGGAAAGGAAAAAUCUUGAAGAUUGGUGACACGAGUUCGGCAUUUAAGGUAUGUUAAGACUUUUUUUUAGACUUGUUGAAGGACGUUUUCCUAAUUAAAAAUAGACAAAGGGGUAAGGGGGAAAGAUGGUGGUCUCGUAUCAAUGGUGUGAUGGGCAUUGGUACGAGUACCGGUGUUAUAAAAAGGAAAAUACUAUUAUAGAAUGUGGAUUGAAAUUUGAGAAUGUCAAAGCAUAUGGGCAUUAGCUGAUAUAUUAUUGACUUGAAUUCCUUGUGUGAUUGUGUUUUAUUUAUUUCACCCAUAUAGUUGAGAUAAUUGAGGUGGUUAUGUAUUAUAUUCAUAUUGAUUGAUUGAGAUGCAUCAUCAUUCCCUCUAUUGAAACAAUAUUGUGCACAUGCAUCGAGAUGAGACUGAGUAUAAGUUGGGCACGUGGAGAUCGUCCGUGCUGGGGAUGGUGAGAUGUUAAGAUUGUAAUUUGGGCACGUGGAGACCGUCCGUGCGAAAAUUGUUUGAUAUUAUGAUAGUGCGUUGAGAUCGUCC
RNAcentral lists this long non-coding RNA (7885 nucleotides) under Solanum lycopersicum (tomato). RNAcentral's name for it is "long non-coding RNA (SLYC_LNC001031)". Lineage: Eukaryota; Viridiplantae; Streptophyta; Magnoliopsida; Solanales; Solanaceae. The record is from RNAcentral.